UACGUAGGGGGCAAGCGUUGUCCGGAAUCAUUGGGCGUAAAGAGCGUGUAGGCGGCUCGAUAAGUCUGCUGUGAAAGUCCAGGGCUCAACCCUGGAAGGCCGGUGGAAACUGUCGGGCUAGAGUCCGGAAGAGGCGAGUGGAAUUCCCGGUGUAGCGGUGAAAUGCGCAGAUAUUGGGAAGAACACCAGUGGCGAAGGCGGUUCUCUGGGACGGUACUGACGCUGAGACGCGAAAGCGUGGGGAGCGAACAGG
Molecule: ribosomal RNA, 253 nt
Filed under: uncultured bacterium
Lineage: Bacteria
Description: partial 16S ribosomal RNA
Rfam family: Bacterial small subunit ribosomal RNA
Source: RNAcentral